Molecule: ribosomal RNA, 274 nt
Filed under: uncultured bacterium
Lineage: Bacteria
Description: partial 16S ribosomal RNA
Rfam family: Bacterial small subunit ribosomal RNA
Source: RNAcentral
AUACGGAGGGUGCAAGCGUUGUUCGGAAUUACUGGGCGUAAAGCGCGUGCAGGCGGUAAGGUAAGUCAGAUGUGAAAGCCCCGGGCUCAACCCGGGAAGUGCAUUUGAUACUGCCUUUCUUGAGUAUGGGAGAGGAGAGUGGAAUUCCCAGUGUAGAGGUGAAAUUCGCAGAUAUUGGGAGGAACACCCGUGGCGAAGGCGACUCUCUGGACCAAUACUGACGCUGAGACGCGAAAGCGUGGGGAGCGAACAGGAUUAGAUACCCCGGUAGUCC